AAAGCACUAACAAGGGAAUUGAACUCCUGAGGGUUUGAGAAAACACAAAUUCAGUGGCAGAAAGUUUGGAAGGAUAUAAAAACUCGAGUCAGAGCCAAAGCUGUAAGCCUUAAAAAUGCCCGCAUCAAAACUGGCAAUUUUCCUAUGGAUAAUAAUACGCUAUCGGAAGAAGAUUUGAUGAUCCUCGGAUUGAUAGGACCUGCUGCAAGGGAAGGGUGCAGGGUCCCUGAUUCGGUGCCUGAAGAGAUGUCUGCAAUUACACAACUGCGGGAAGCAGACGAGUCAGUUUUAAACGAGAUACCUACUCAUAUAUCAGUAUUUGAAGAAUACAAUAUAGUGUCGACAAGCACCACAAUUGAAUCAGACACGGCAAUAGGACAGGAGGAGGAACACACCAUCCAAGAAGCUGAU
This is a long non-coding RNA of Neodiprion fabricii, 411 nucleotides long. RefSeq lists it as uncharacterized. The record is from RefSeq and is a predicted model, not a curated record. NCBI's taxonomy places the organism in Eukaryota, Metazoa, Arthropoda, Insecta, Hymenoptera, Diprionidae. The transcript has 4 exons.